RNAcentral lists this ribosomal RNA (425 nucleotides) under uncultured bacterium. RNAcentral's name for it is "partial 16S ribosomal RNA". It matches the Rfam family "Bacterial small subunit ribosomal RNA", at positions 354 to 796 of the family's 1533-position model. The record is from RNAcentral.
GUUAGGAAUAUUGGACAAUGGGCGCAAGCCUGAUCUAGCCAUGCCGCGUGAGCGAUGAAGGCCUUAGGGUUGUAAAGCUCUUUCGUGGGGGAAGAUAAUGACUGUACCCCAAGAAGAAGCCCCGGCUAACUCCGUGCCAGCAGCCGCGGUAAUACGGAGGGGGCUAGCGUUGUUCGGAAUUACUGGGCGUAAAGCGCACGUAGGCGGACCAGAAAGUCAGAGGUGAAAGCCCGGGGCUCAACCCCGGAACUGCCUUUGAAACUCCUGGUCUUGAGGUCGAGAGAGGUGGGUGGAAUUCCGAGUGUAGAGGUGAAAUUCGUAGAUAUUCGGAGGAACACCAGUGGCGAAGGCGGCCCACUGGCUCGAUACUGACGCUGAGGUGCGAAAGCGUGGGGAGCAAACAGGAUUAGAUACCCUAGUAGUCC